GGNNCGAGNRUCUGAACCAGCCAAGUAGCGUGAAGGAUGACUGCCCUAUGGGUUGUAAACUUCUUUUAUACGGGAAUAAAGUGAGGCACGUGUGCCUUUUUGUAUGUACCGUAUGAAUAAGGAUCGGCUAACUCCGUGCCAGCAGCCGCGGUAAUACGGAGGAUCCRARMNNNAUCCGGAUUUAUUGGGUUUAAAGGGAGCGUAGGCGGACGCUUAAGUCAGUUGUGAAAGUUUGCGGCUCAACCGUAAAAUUGCAGUUGAUACUGGGUGUCUUGAGUACAGUAGAGGCAGGCGGAAUUCGUGGUGUAGCGGUGAAAUGCUUAGAUAUCACGAAGAACUCC
RNAcentral lists this ribosomal RNA (341 nucleotides) under uncultured bacterium. Its description in RNAcentral is "partial 16S ribosomal RNA". It matches the Rfam family "Bacterial small subunit ribosomal RNA", at positions 373 to 710 of the family's 1533-position model. The record is from RNAcentral.